GGUUUUGAACCACCGACAGGGGCUGUUCGGGAGUACCUGUCAAACCGCCCUACGGUGCUUUUGUCCAAUGACAGAGGUGUUGAGCGGAUAGGGAAAAGGGACGAUGAGAGAAGCGUUUCAGGU
This is a non-coding RNA of Bacteroidetes bacterium 4484_249, 123 nucleotides long. The record is from Rfam. Lineage: Bacteria; Pseudomonadati; Bacteroidota.